CCAUGUUUAACUCCUUAAAAGCCGCAUGGUAUUAUCCUGGGGAAGCGACUUGAAUAGCGUUUCUUAAAACACCACAGCUUCCUUGCUGGCCCGCUCGCUUCUUUGCCUCUUUGCCUCCCUGACUGUCUGUCUCCAAUCUAUUCUCCUUCUACAUAUUGCUGCCAAAGUUAAACAACUAGUAUCAAACUUUCAGUUUGAUUCAGCAUGCCCAAAACGAGUUCUUCAAAGAAACAACUAAAUGCUGAUAUAGAGCAGGGAAAACCUUCUCCAUUGAAUGUGCCCGAAAAGAUUUAUUCAAAGAAACCUAUACAAGAACAAGAAAAUGCAGACGUAGAGCAGGCAAAACCCUCUUCAACACCAAUGAAAGUAGGUAAUGAGAUAGAUGAAAUUUUCUCUGGAAAGAAGAGGAAGAAACCUGAACAAAAGAAAGUUGAUAAGGCAAAUGUAAAUGGGGAAGAUAAACCAAAAUUGACGACAAAGAAGAAGAAGAAGAAGAAGAGUAAAGAAGAUGAAGAGGGAAGGUUUACGGACCCGCCUUGUAGGUCUCGGAAGAAAACAGAAGAUGGAUUGAACAUAUAUACGGAAGAGGAAUUGGGUUUUAGCAAGAGCAGUGGUGGAGAUACCCCUCUUUGCCCAUUUGACUGUGAUUGCUGCUUUUGAUGAUCCUUGCUGAUGGGUUUAGCUGCUUCCUUGAUAGAGUGGACUUAUUGAGAUAUCAAUGUAGUUUUGUGAUUCUGAAUUUUUAGUUUGCUGAAAAUUCUGUGAAAAAAUUUCCCGUGCACUGGAAUUUUGGUUGCAUGAAACUUGGUAUUUUAAUCAAUUUUGCCAGCUUUCUUAGAACUCUUUUGCCUGGGUGGAUUUGUUAUAUCUUAGAUAUUCUUCUGAUUUUGAUCCACUAGCAAUUCCUGUACAUGUUCUUCUAUGAUGAAUUGACUAUUGAGAA
Molecule: long non-coding RNA, 943 nt
Organism: Populus euphratica (Euphrates poplar)
Lineage: Eukaryota; Viridiplantae; Streptophyta; Magnoliopsida; Malpighiales; Salicaceae
Exons: 2
Source: RefSeq, a predicted model, not a curated record